UGGGGAAUUUUGGACAAUGGGCGCAAGCCUGAUCCAGCAAUGCCGCGUGCAGGAUGAAGGCCUUCGGGUUGUAAACUGCUUUUGUACGGAGCGAAAAGGCUUUAACUAAUACUUAAGGCUAAUGACGGUACCGUAAGAAUAAGCACCGGCUAACUACGUGCCAGCAGCCGCGGUAAUACGGAGGGUGCAAGCGUUGUUCGGAAUUAUUGGGCGUAAAGAGCGUGUAGGCGGCCGGGUAAGUCAGAUGUGAAAGCCUUUCGCUUAACGAAAGAAGUGCAUUUGAUACUGCCUGGCUAGAGUUCGGAAGAGGAGAGUGGAAUUCCUGGUGUAGAGGUGAAAUUCGUAGAUAUCAGGAGGAACACCGGUGGCGAAGGCGGCUCUCUGGUCCGAUACUGACGCUGAGACGCGAAAGCGUGGGGAGCAAACAGG
This 429-nucleotide ribosomal RNA is filed under the name uncultured bacterium. RNAcentral's name for it is "bacterial SSU rRNA". It matches the Rfam family "Bacterial small subunit ribosomal RNA", at positions 355 to 776 of the family's 1533-position model. The record is from RNAcentral.